GUACACGGUACAUGCAAAACAACAACUACUGUGCUUCUGAAAUUGAAGGAUCUAGUAUCUAGGAACUUCCGAAUCUGAACUAACGAUGGCCGAAGGACCUAAUCCAGUUGAUCCAGUUGUUGCUGAUCUCGAGCAAGAGGUGACCUGUGGCAUCUGUCAUGACCGCUACCAGGAGCCAAAGCUGCUCCCUUGUUGUCACUACUACUGCAAGCAAUGCAUCCUCACACUCUCCAGUCGCUACCAACCCAACCAGCCGUUCCCUUGCCCCGACUGUCGUGAGCCCACUCUGUUGCCUGACAACAACCCAGACAGACUGCCCACUGCAUUCUUCAUCAACCGGAUGAAAGCACUCCACUCAAGGAUGGAGAAAGCUCACGGCAAGUUGGAGACCACCUGUGAAGUGUGCUCUGGGGGAAAGGCCACUGCAUUCUGCCGACAGUGUGUCAAUUUUAUCUGUGAAAAAUGUGUAGAAUCUCAUCAACGUAUGAAAGCCGUGUUUGCUACACAUAUCGUCUCCACUCUGGACGAGCUCAAACAGGGCGGAGUGAAAGAACUAACAUUCGAAAACCUACCACCCCCAAAAUGUGAUGAUCACGAAGAACUAAAAAAGAUUUUCUGUUUCGAUUGCAACAAGCUCAUCUGUCGAGACUGUAUCGUUAUUGAACACGCUGGACACAAUUACGAAUUUGUAAAGAAAGCCGCCCCCGCAACUCGCAAAAAGCUGACGAAGCACCUCUCCCCACUCAAGAACCUACUGCCUGAUCUGAGCACCGCUGUGAAUCAAGUGAAAGGAACUAAACAGAAGAUUCAGGCCCAGAAAGAACUGACAGAGAGACAAGUGAAUGCCAAGUUCCAGGAGCUACACGAUAUUCUCGAUCGAUGCAAGGUCCGUGUUUUACGAGAAUCUUCUGCUUUGGCUGAUUCAAAGAUGGAGAAGCUGACGGUUCAAGAGAAGGGUCUGGACCUGUCCCUGGGCACUGCUCAGAGUUUGAUUGACUUUGUAGAGCGUACACUGGAGAAUGCAAGUGAUGAAGAACUGAUUACGAUGCAAGAGCAGGUGGUGAGUCGAAUCGAUGCCAAGGUGGUGAAGCAAGGGAAGGAAGCAGCCAAUCCUGAUCCAGUGGAGAAAGAUGAUUUUGGAAUUGAAGUGUUUGUUUGUGAGAAUCUCAAGAAGUUGUGUGAGAACAAUGUUAUUGUGUAUGACGGAAAGCCGAUUGUGAAAGGAGACGGUAUCAAAACAGCUGAAGUUGACAAAUGUUCAAAACUGAUAUUUUAUUGCGGUUCAAAAAGAGGCAAGCCACAACUUCUACUGAAAACGCUAUCUGAUGACACAUCUCAAGAAUUGCAAGCAGUGCCUGUGAGGGGUGGAGUGUACAGUGUUGAGUACACCCCUAGGGUACGUGGUCGACACCACCUCCUGAUCUCAGUGGACGACCAGCCCAUCCCAGGAAGCCCCUUCUCUGUGUUCAUCAAAAUACCCCCCACCAAGCUAGACAAGCCAGUGAAGGAGAUAAAAGGAAUCAACAUCCCUGUGUAUAUGGCAUUCAACUCAUCAGAAGAACUGAUUGUAACUGACUUUCUUGGUGAUGUUUUGGUGUUUGACAAGAAAGGAAAACAAAUUCGAAGCAUCAGCAAAUCAAAGCAUGGGUUUGUCGGUAUCUCUGGUGUGGCAGUAGACAAGGAGGACAACAUCUAUGUCUGUGAUAGCGGCAAACACUGUGUGUACAAGUUCAACAAAAGAGGAGACCUACUGAAGAGGUUUGGGACGAAGGGAAGUGGUCCAAAGGAACUCAACUGGCCUCGAGGGAUAGCAGUCGCUGGUGAUCAAUUGUUUGUGUGCGAUCGAGAGAAUCACAGAGUCCAAGUGUUGACUACAGAGCUGGAGCCAGUCAAGCAGAUUGGUUCAAAGGGAACUGGUAAUGAGCAUUUUAACUGCCCAGAGGAUGUUGCAGUGGAUAAUGAACGAAUGGUGUAUGUCACUGACUGUCAUAAUCUUCGUGUUCAAGUGCUCACUAUGGAUGGUCGGUUUAUUCGCUCGAUUGGAAAGAAAAGAAGUGGACAAGGAGAUCUGUCUUACCCUUAUGGUGUGUGUGUCAAUGGUUUUGUUUAUGUUGUUGAGGAUGGUAACAAGCGUGUGUCAGUGUUCACUAAAGACGGCCAGUUUGUCACAUCAUUUGGUAAUGGUCAUAUCACUAAUCUUUAUGGAGUAGCUGUGGACAGUGAUGGUUUUGUGUAUGUGCGCAGUGAAGGAUCUGUUGUUAUCUUUUAGUGUAUUAUUAUUUUGUGUUUUGGUUGAGGAACUCUUGGUGUUAUAAUUAUCUUGACUUUUGAUUGAGAAACAGUUAGCUCUACUGACGAUCUUUACUCGCCCACAAAAAAUGCUGCCUAAUUUGGGAAAGAUCGUUUGUGAUUGUUAUGAGGAUCUUUACCAUCUCAUUUUAGCUAAUUUACAAGACAAGGCACACUCUAUAGCUAGCUCUCAGCUCUGUAUCUGAAGUUGCAUCAGUUGCAUGGACCCAUUAUACAACUACAGAGAGAGUAGAGCCACUGCUUGCGAGACUCCACUAUCAAUCAAAUCUCGAUAACCUCACUAAAAGUUACAAUCUCAAUAAACAAGAUGAAGUACCCAAGGCCCACUGAUGGCCGGCCAAGCUCUGAAGAUGUGACAUUUGACUUCUACACGGCCCAGUCCCUAGUUUGUAAGCUCAACAACCAAGUGAUGAUGUCUCAAGCAUUAGCAGCAGAAGACACGUUCAUUGCACAGCAAGCUAGCUAGCUACAUCAAGCUACAUUUGAGGUACAAGAGCAGCCCCUCCCCCCAGAGGAUGAAGCCAGAUAAAUGCAAGUCCCCUGAAAAUAUUACUAUAGAAACUAUUGUAUCACAAAACACCACAUGGCAGCAAAGUGAUGAAGUCAUAGCAACGCAAGACAACUCUCUGCAGUAUUUGGCCGAAUGUAUGAUUGGAAAAUUGUCGUGUGCUUGUGCUGCCGAGACAAGGUUCACAGAGGUCACUAGUAGAGCACAUCCAAUGGACACCACUAUAGACGAACCUUCACCCAAAGAGCCUACAAUGCAUACGCUAUUAUUGUCCGAUACAAGGAGACCAAUUGUCAACGAUGUCAUUGCAAGUACUGCAGGUGAACAGUCCUGACCGUGUCUGGAUACAGCUGGCUGAGUACCCAGAGCAUGACCUGGAGGCGCUAUCAAUUGCCGUGACCACCAGUGACCCCAACACUGUGAGCAGAGGCGAGUUGAUGGUUGGACUGUAUUGUGCUGUGCUUGUGAGUGUUGGAGGCACUCAAGAGAGAGAAGAGGAUGGCUUCUACAGAAGAGCUAGAGUGACAGAGGUCAAUCGACCACACUACAUUGGACAGGCUACACUGGAGCUGAUAGAUUGUGGCUCAACGAUGCACAGUGUGUCACUCCUCUACAAGCUCCCCCACGGACUGAGAGUGGGCGUGGUCCCUCCCCACGGCUAUUGACGGCCUCUACUCAACAUUCAAUCACGGAGAGGAAUGGUUCCCACUGGACAAACAGCUACUAUGGAAACACCUACGACACAAAAUGGUGUUUGCCAAGGUUACCAGGAAACCAUCCGGGCUACAAGUUGGUGUCGUCGAUAUCUACUAUGAUCGUGUUGGCAAGAACAGAGUAACUAACCUGCUCCUCACUAAAGGACUAUACCUCAGCUCCACCUCUCUGCUAGCUGAGACCACACCCACACCUCAAACCACCCCCUCACAAGCAGUAACCACUCCCCCACGAUCAUUACUAUCUCGGCUCAGUUACCUACUAAAGAAAUCAAAACAAUUCAUGACCCUCAAAACAGAAACUAUUUGUGCACUAAAGAGACAUCAUCAAUGUCAGCUGUACUAGCACCGACAAACUUGUUUAAUGGUGUCAAAGUGUCUACUUGUGAGAAAGGAGAUUGUAAGGAAGCUGCCAAUUGCUGGUAUCAAGAUGCCCCUCUGGAGAGAGCCUCGUUAAGCGGGAAGGACUCCUGGUGUAACGAGUCUGAUGAGUGCUGUCAUAGCGACCCACGUCGUCUGAGCAGCAAGUCCCUAGUGUUGACAAGUGAUUAUCAUUUGAGAACUGAAGAUGAUGACUGGACUAGCUAUUAUAGCCUAACUGCAAUUAUUAUCUGUACUGUAUAUAUGACUGUGAAGAAGUGUGGGCGUAUCUCAGAUUACAUAU
Molecule: RNA transcript, 4195 nt
Organism: Halichondria panicea
Lineage: Eukaryota; Metazoa; Porifera; Demospongiae; Suberitida; Halichondriidae
Gene name: DNA replication licensing factor MCM6-like
Exons: 5
Source: RefSeq, a predicted model, not a curated record